This 253-nucleotide ribosomal RNA is filed under the name uncultured bacterium. RNAcentral's name for it is "partial 16S ribosomal RNA". It matches the Rfam family "Bacterial small subunit ribosomal RNA", at positions 524 to 776 of the family's 1533-position model. The record is from RNAcentral.
UACAGAGGGCGCGAGCGUUGUCCGGAAUCACUGGGCGUAAAGGGCGCGUAGGUGGCGGCAUAAGGCCGUGGUGAAAGUCUGGGGCUCAACCCCAGAUCGGCCAUGGCGACUGUGUCGCUAGGGUACUGUAGAGGCAGGUGGAAUUCCGGGUGUAGCGGUGGAAUGCGUAGAGAUCCGGAAGAACACCAGUGGCGAAGGCGGCUCACUGGCCCGGUACUGACGCUGAGGUGCGAAAGCGUGGGGAGCAAACAGG